CACGUAGGGCGCAAGCGUUGUCCGGAAUUAUUGGGCGUAAAGAGCUCGUAGGCGGCCUGUUGCGUCCGCUGUGAAAUCCCGGGGCUCAACCCCGGGCUUGCAGUGGAUACGGGCUGGCUAGAGGCAGGCAGGGGAGAACGGAAUUCCCGGUGUAGCGGUGAAAUGCGCAGAUAUCGGGAGGAACACCGGUGGCGAAGGCGGUUCUCUGGGCCUGUACUGACGCUGAGGAGCGAAAGCGUGGGGAGCGAACAGG
Molecule: ribosomal RNA, 253 nt
Filed under: uncultured bacterium
Lineage: Bacteria
Description: partial 16S ribosomal RNA
Rfam family: Bacterial small subunit ribosomal RNA
Source: RNAcentral